UUUCCGUAGGUGAACCUGCGGAAGGAUCAUUCAUAAUAAAGUGUUUUAUGGCACUUUUUAAAAAUCCAUAUCCACCUUGUGUGCAAUGUUAGAUCUCGUCAAUCUUGGCGAGAUUUUUAUACAUCAACUCAUUCUUUAACUAAUUUGUCUGAAAAAUAUUAGGAAUACUUAAUUCAAAAUACAACUUUCAACAACGGAUCUCUUGGCUCUC
RNAcentral lists this unclassified non-coding RNA (211 nucleotides) under plant metagenome. RNAcentral describes it as "partial contains small subunit ribosomal RNA, internal transcribed spacer 1, and 5.8S ribosomal RNA". The record is from RNAcentral.